GGCGACAUGGCCGAGUGGUUAGGCAGAGGUCUGCAAAACCUCCUACGGCGGUUCGAAUCCGCCUGUCGCCU
RNAcentral lists this transfer RNA (71 nucleotides) under Fodinibius roseus. RNAcentral's name for it is "Aliifodinibius roseus tRNA". It matches the Rfam family "tRNA". From Rfam's summary of the family: Transfer RNA (tRNA) molecules are approximately 80 nucleotides in length. The record is from Rfam by way of RNAcentral. Lineage: Bacteria; Pseudomonadati; Balneolota; Balneolia; Balneolales; Balneolaceae. RNAcentral also lists the same sequence under 4 other names.